This 894-nucleotide ribosomal RNA is filed under the name Cordana ellipsoidea. RNAcentral's name for it is "LSU rRNA". It matches the Rfam family "Eukaryotic large subunit ribosomal RNA", at positions 38 to 966 of the family's 3401-position model. Lineage: Eukaryota; Fungi; Ascomycota; Sordariomycetes; Coniochaetales; Cordanaceae. The record is from RNAcentral.
CCAUAUCAAUAAGCGGAGGAAAAGAAACCAACAGGGAUUGCCCUAGUAACGGCGAGUGAAGCGGCAACAGCUCAAAUUUGAAAUCUGGCUUCGGCCCGAGUUGUAAUUUGUAGAGGAUGCUUUUGGCGCGGUGCCUUCUGAGUUCCCUGGAACGGGACGCCAUAGAGGGUGAGAGCCCCGUAUAGUUGGACACCAAGCCUUUGUAAAGCUCCUUCGACGAGUCGAGUAGUUUGGGAAUGCUGCUCAAAAUGGGAGGUAAAUUUCUUCUAAAGCUAAAUACCGGCCAGAGACCGAUAGCGCACAAGUAGAGUGAUCGAAAGAUGAAAAGCACUUUGAAAAGAGGGUUAAAUAGCACGUGAAAUUGUUGAAAGGGAAGCGCUUAUGACCAGACUUGUUCUAGGUUGAUCAUCCAGUGUUCUCACUGGUGCACUCUGCCUAGAUCAGGCCAGCGUCGGUUUUCGUAGGGGGAUAAAGGCUUCGGGAAUGUGGCUCCUCCGGGAGUGUUAUAGCCCGUUGCAUAAUACCCUUAUGGGGACCGAGGUACGCGCUCUGCAAGGACGCUGGCGUAAUGGUCAUCAGCGACCCGUCUUGAAACACGGACCAAGGAGUCGAGGUUUUGCGCGAGUGUUUGGGUGUAAAACCCGCACGCGUAAUGAAAGUGAACGUAGGUGAGAGCUUCGGCGCAUCAUCGACCGAUCCUGAUGUAUUCGGAUGGAUUUGAGUAAGAGCGUAUAGCCUCGGACCCGAAAGAUGGUGAACUAUGCCUGUAUAGGGUGAAGCCAGAGGAAACUCUGGUGGAGGCUCGCAGCGGUUCUGACGUGCAAAUCGAUCGUCAAAUAUGGGCAUGGGGGCGAAAGACUAAUCGACCAUCUAGUAGCUGGUUACCCGCCGAAG